Molecule: non-coding RNA, 424 nt
Organism: Prunus avium (sweet cherry)
Lineage: Eukaryota; Viridiplantae; Streptophyta; Magnoliopsida; Rosales; Rosaceae
Source: RefSeq, a predicted model, not a curated record
AUGUGCAGGCUGCAGCCUCACCACGACCGUAUGCAUGCCAGGAAUAUUAGUCACUCCAUAAUAUGUGGAGCUGAAAGGCCAGGGAUCAGCACAGGGAGAGGUGGACAAAUUAAUGGGACGAAGGGGUUGAGGGAGCAGAAUGUUUCUGAUCUCACCAGCUCAAAGACUGAUCAGAAAGAUGGCAAGAAAAGCAAAGAAGAUGUCACUGCUACUCCAAAAAAGACUGGUUCUACCGAUUGAAAACAUAUUAUCGACAAUUUCUGAUAAUCCGUCUUCUAAUAAAGAACCGACGUGCUAUGCAAAGAAGAACUGGGAUAUAUAUAACAUUCUAAAAUAGCUAGCUUUUUAAUAAAGAGAGUAGCUUGUGAGUAAGAUGCAUAAGUCUUCCUUCGAUCCGGUCUCAACGCGAAGCUCAAAGAUGUCU